Molecule: long non-coding RNA, 404 nt
Organism: Notolabrus celidotus (New Zealand spotty)
Lineage: Eukaryota; Metazoa; Chordata; Actinopteri; Labriformes; Labridae
Exons: 3
Source: RefSeq, a predicted model, not a curated record
AGUGUCUCAGUUUGAACUGCAGUUUAUGACUGUGUCUGGGUGACUGGGUGUCUUGGCAGCCUGCAGGAUGGCAGAAUAAUUUGCUGCAACAGGAGCUAACUGGGAUGUCUGGACAAGGUCAACCUCGGUGCACAGAACCGGAGGCGGGCCAAUCAGCUGCGAGGUAUGGCAGGGGCUCGGUGAAUGGGGCGGCCUUGCCUGUGCUCAGCUCCAUGCUUUCAGUCCCUGAGGGCAGAUCUUUCCCUACACGAGCGGCUGCAACGCGUGCUGAAGAGAAGAAGUGAUCACUUCUCACAUGGUGUCUCCUCCUGUUAUUUGGCUGUUACAUAACAACAUGUGGCUCCAUCAUGCUAUGAUCAUGCCAUCUGAAUGUCACAGUUUUUAUAAAGUACUAUUAUUCUCAA